GACGAACGCUGGCGGCGUGCUUAACACAUGCAAGUCGAGCGGUAAGGCCCUUUCGGGGGUACACGAGCGGCGAACGGGUGAGUAACACGUGGGUGACCUGCCCUCAGCUCUGGGAUAAGCCUGGGAAACCGGGUCUAAUACCGGAUAUGACUCCAUGACGCAUGUUGUGGGGUGGAAAGCCUUGUGCGGCGUGAGGAUGGGCCCGCGGCCUAUCAGCUUGUUGGUGGGGUGAUGGCCUACCAAGGCGACGACGGUAGCCGGCCUGAGAGGCGACCGGCCACACUGGGACUGAGACACGGCCCGAGACUCCUACGGGAGGCAGCAGUGGGGAAUCUUGCGCAAUGGGCGAAAGCCUGACGCAGCGACGCCG
This 370-nucleotide ribosomal RNA is filed under the name uncultured bacterium. RNAcentral describes it as "bacterial SSU rRNA". It matches the Rfam family "Bacterial small subunit ribosomal RNA", at positions 28 to 399 of the family's 1533-position model. The record is from RNAcentral.